Molecule: long non-coding RNA, 752 nt
Filed under: Carica papaya (papaya)
Lineage: Eukaryota; Viridiplantae; Streptophyta; Magnoliopsida; Brassicales; Caricaceae
Description: long non-coding RNA (CPAP_LNC014063)
Source: RNAcentral
GAUCUUCCCUCUCUUCAUUAGCUUAUCAAUGGUUAAUAUUGUGACAAAAAUGAAAAGAAAGGUUUGAGAUCAUUAGUAAUAUAUAACUAAACUCAGAUUUAGACAUUCAAGAACCACCAUUCUCAUUUUUAUUUUCUUUCACAACUUCUAACCUGAGAGUCCUUUGACAGGGUCUCCCCGUUAUUAUUAUUAUACAUCUAAACUCUGGAUCAUCAAGUACUUGAGGUACCCAUUAGUUUGUUAUACAUAUCCAACACACAAACCAGGAAUUUGACGUCUCCAAAAGGGUGUGCACUAAAAUUAAACAGUCCAGGCAACAUGAUCUACAACACAAUUAACGAAAGAACAGAUUGUGGCUCUUCUACAACACAAUUAACAAAAGAACAGAUUGUGGCUCUUACUUCUUCCAAUUCCAAGCUGCCCACUCGAGUUCUUCCCCCAUACAUAGAGCUCCCCAUCCGCUACAAUAAAAUGAUGGAGAUUGUUAUGGAGAAUAUAGUAAAUGCUUAUGCCGAGUAUAACAAAGUACAUACUAUGUAAAUAUCUAUCUGCUUAAAACAAAAAAUUCAAAAAGAUUUCAUGAAACUACAAGAUCCAAGGAUAAGAGUUACAUAACCAAAAAAAAAAGGGGAAAGGAAAAUUUCAAUUUGAAGCUAGAGUUCACUUCUGCUUGUUAAUUACAAAGAUAAGAAAAAAUAGUACUAACCUCCAAUUUUCUUAAGUUCCUUUUCAUAUAAAUUUUUACAAGCUUC